GAUGAAGAACGCAGUGAAAUGCGAUACUUGGUGUGAAUUGCAGAAUCCCGUGAACCAUCGAGUCUUUGAACGCAAGUUGCGCCCGAAGCCUCGGCUAAGGGCACGUCUGCCUGGGCGUCACGCAUCGCGUCUCCCCCAAACCGCCAAGGCGGAGGGGAAGGAAGAUGGCUUCCCGUGCCUCACCCGGCGCGGUUGGCCUAAAUUUGGAGCCCGCGGCACUUAGCUCUCGCGGCGAUAGGUGGUGAACAAGGCCUUGGCCGUGCAAACAACCCGCUGCGAAGCUCUAUGUCACGUGCGCUCGUCGGACCCUUUGAAGUUGCCUUCGGUGACUUAAAACCUUUGCGACCCCAGGUCAGGCGGGGCUACCCGCUGAAUUUAAGCAUAUCAAUAAGCGGAGGA
This 399-nucleotide unclassified non-coding RNA is filed under the name soil metagenome. RNAcentral describes it as "partial contains 5.8S ribosomal RNA, internal transcribed spacer 2, and large subunit ribosomal RNA". The stretch from base 1 to 120 matches the Rfam family "5.8S ribosomal RNA", at positions 35 to 154 of the family's 154-position model. The record is from RNAcentral.